AAAACAUCGCCUCCUGCAACACAACCAAGUAUAGGAGGUCCAGCCUGCCCAGUGACUACAAGUUCAACGGCCGCGGUAUUCUAACCGUGCAAAGGUAGCGCAAUCACUUGUCUUUUAAAUAAAGACCUGUAUGAAUGGCUAAACGAGGGCUUAACUGUCUCCCCUUUCAAGUCAGUGAAAUUGAUCUACCCGUGCAGAAGCGGGUAUAAUAAUACAAGACGAGAAGACCCUUUGGAGCUUAAGGUACAAAACUCAAUCACGUUAAGCAACUCAAUAUAAAAGUAAAAACUCUGUGAGAAUGAAAUUUUACCUUCGGUUGGGGCGACCACGGAGGAGAAAAAAGCCUCCAAAUGGACUGGGAUUAAACCUCCUAAAACCAAGAGAGACAUCUCUAAGCCACAGAACAUCUGACCAAACAUGAUCCGGCCAGUAUAGACCGAUCAAUGAACCAAGUUACCCUAGGGAUAACAGCGCAAUCCUCUCCCAGAGUCCAUAUCGACGAGGGGGUUUACGACCUCGAUGUUGGAUCAGGACAUCCUAAUGGUGCAGCCGCUAUUAAGGGUUCGUUUGUUCAACGAUUAAAGUCCUACGUGA
This 594-nucleotide ribosomal RNA is filed under the name Sinocyclocheilus microphthalmus (small eye golden-line fish). Its description in RNAcentral is "partial 16S ribosomal RNA". It matches the Rfam family "Bacterial large subunit ribosomal RNA", at positions 1810 to 2603 of the family's 2925-position model. The record is from RNAcentral. Lineage: Eukaryota; Metazoa; Chordata; Actinopteri; Cypriniformes; Cyprinidae.